This is a long non-coding RNA of Nicotiana attenuata, 368 nucleotides long. RefSeq lists it as uncharacterized. The transcript is spliced from 3 exons. NCBI's taxonomy places the organism in Eukaryota, Viridiplantae, Streptophyta, Magnoliopsida, Solanales, Solanaceae. The record is from RefSeq and is a predicted model, not a curated record.
CUUCCUUUCUUUCUCUUCUCUUUCUCCUCCAUCAUCGGUGGCCAGUUUGAGUAUCAAAUUCUGGCGGAAGCAAAUUCGGCGUCCAAGCAUGGUUUUCUUCCCGGGAGAUUCAGGUGCAUCAGGUCCUGCUUGUGAGGGUUGAGAGAGCUUCCAGAAGAUUUCGGAGAUUCACUAGGUAGCUGCCCAGCGAUUCGCAGCCCGGUGCUUCUCCCUCUAUCUUAUUUCCUUCUGUUUUAGUUACGUAAUAGUUGUGUAGACUCGUUUCAGACUUGUAGUUGUUAUGAUAGAUGCUCAUGACUGGUGACACCCCGAUAUCGGGCUAUGUCUAUUCCGCAACUGUAUUAUUAUCUUAUGACUUGGUUUUAUUA